GGUCAGGCGACCGUCGACAUCUACUUUGCAAGCAGAAGGCCGUGGGUUCGAGUCCCACCGUCUCCA
Molecule: transfer RNA, 66 nt
Filed under: Acidimicrobiales bacterium
Lineage: Bacteria; Bacillati; Actinomycetota; Acidimicrobiia; Acidimicrobiales
Description: tRNA-Ala
Rfam family: tRNA
About the family: Transfer RNA (tRNA) molecules are approximately 80 nucleotides in length. Their secondary structure includes four short double-helical elements and three loops (D, anti-codon, and T loops). Further hydrogen bonds mediate the characteristic L-shaped molecular structure. tRNAs have two regions of fundamental functional importance: the anti-codon, which is responsible for specific mRNA codon recognition, and the 3' end, to which the tRNAs corresponding amino acid is attached (by aminoacyl-tRNA synthetases). tRNAs cope with the degeneracy of the genetic code in two manners: having more than one tRNA (with a specific anti-codon) for a particular amino acid; and 'wobble' base-pairing, i.e. permitting non-standard base-pairing at the 3rd anti-codon position.
Source: RNAcentral